Molecule: ribosomal RNA, 496 nt
Filed under: uncultured bacterium
Lineage: Bacteria
Description: partial 16S ribosomal RNA
Rfam family: Bacterial small subunit ribosomal RNA
Source: RNAcentral
GACGAACGCUGGCGGCGUGCCUAAUACAUGCAAGUUGAGCGCUGAAGGUUGGUACUUGUACCAACUGGAUGAGCAGCGAACGGGUGAGUAACGCGUGGGGAAUCUGCCUUUGAGCGGGGGACAACAUUUGGAAACGAAUGCUAAUACCGCAUAAAAACUUUAAACACAAGUUUUAAGUUUGAAAGAUGCAAUUGCAUCACUCAAAGAUGAUCCCGCGUUGUAUUAGCUAGUUGGUGAGGUAAAGGCUCACCAAGGCGAUGAUACAUAGCCGACCUGAGAGGGGGGUGGGCCACCUUGGGAGUGAGACACGGCCAAAACUCCUACGGGGGGCAGCAGUGGGGAAUUUUCGGCAAUGGAAGAAAGUCUGACCGGGAAACGCCGGGGGAGGGAAGAAGGUUUUCGGAUCGUAAAACUCUGUUGGUAGAGAAGAACGUUGGGGAGAGUGGAAAGCUCAUCAAGUGACGGUAACUACCCAAAAAGGGGCGGCUAACUACGU